UACGUAGGGUGCAAGCGUUAAUCGGAAUUACUGGGCGUAAAGCGUGCGCAGGCGGUGAUGUAAGACAGAUGUGAAAUCCCCGGGCUCAACCUGGGAACUGCGUUUGUGACUGCAUCGCUGGAGUGCGGCAGAGGGGGAUGGAAUUCCGCGUGUAGCAGUGAAAUGCGUAGAUAUGCGGAGGAACACCGAUGGCGAAGGCAAUCCCCUGGGCCUGCACUGACGCUCAUGCACAAAAGCGUGGGGAGCAAACAGG
Molecule: ribosomal RNA, 253 nt
Filed under: uncultured bacterium
Lineage: Bacteria
Description: partial 16S ribosomal RNA
Rfam family: Bacterial small subunit ribosomal RNA
Source: RNAcentral